RNAcentral lists this ribosomal RNA (222 nucleotides) under uncultured bacterium. RNAcentral describes it as "partial 16S ribosomal RNA". It matches the Rfam family "Bacterial small subunit ribosomal RNA", at positions 328 to 539 of the family's 1533-position model. The record is from RNAcentral.
ACACUCGACACCUACGGGAGGAGCAGUAGGGAAUCUUCCACAAUGGACGCAAGUCUGAUGGAGCAACGCCGCGUGAGUGAAGAAGGUCUUCGGAUCGUAAAACUCUGUUGUUAGAGAAGAACACGAGUGAGAGUAACUGUUCAUUCGAUGACGGUAUCUAACCAGCAAGUCACGGCUAACUACGUGCCAACAGCCGCGGUAAUCUGAGCGGGCUGGCAAGGC